CAAAAAGAAGCAAUUUGGAACAUUCUAGAGCAUUUUUGGGCCAAGAUUGGAUUGUGCAAGCAUGGAGGCAUGAGGAUGGACGAAUUUGAAGACAAAAGAGGCUAUGAACAUGCUAAAAAUCUGGUGAAACAAAUACAAGUUGCAAGAAGGGAUAAAUUUCUAGAAUGAUUGACCAAAACUUCACUCAAAACCAAGAAAUUCUUCAAUGCCGUGGGCAUUGAUUCACUUUCACCAGAAAUUUGAGUGAUGAUGUAAUGCUUAAAUCACCAUGACAUGUGAGUGGAUGAUGCAAUGCUUAACUCACCAUGACAUGUGAAUGGAUGACUCAAUACCUAACCCACCAACAAUUCCCACUCUUUGCCUUGCUCACCUACUCAAUUCCACCAGAAUUUUGUGUUAAACAAGUCCAUCAUUUUCCUAUAAAUACCAUGGCAGCAACCUCAUUCAAAUCAUCCAGAAAUUAACCAUUCUCCAAGCCUUCCCUUGCCUCUCCCCUACAUAUCUAAACCUUCCCCAUCCAUUCCUCCAUAUAACCAACCAUUCAACCACCAUAACCACCUUGUGCCGCCACCAUUGAAGGAGAGGAUGAGUAGUGCCGUGCUUAUGCAAUCUGCAACUAUUAGAGUGUUUGGAAUUCUUUCUUCUUUUAAUUCUAUGUUCAUGUUUAAUUUAACUUGCUGUUCAAUUAUGUUAAACAUGUGGAACUAAUUUCUUUUUAGUUAGAGGCAAAUUUGAAGCCAUGGACAUAUGUUGGUUAUGAUUUGUUUUACUCCAGUUAUGAAUUCAUGAACUUUAGAUGUGGUUUACUUUUCUGUUUUGAUUAAGAACUUGUUUAUGUAUGUGGGUUGAGGGUCGACACUUAAUUUGCAUGCCUAAACUUGAUGCUAGGAUAUAAGGGAAUUUCACUUAAUCGUUAUGAACUUAUAUUCAUGAGUAGUAAAGAUCGCUAGUCACGAUUGUGUUUAAGUAAACCAUAGGCUGGAUUAACAUGCGUAUUCCAUAGUUAUGAAUGCCUAGUCAAUGUUUAUGAUUUCCGUUGAACUUAAUGAUCUUUGUUGAAUGUCUCUAUCAUGCGUAUUCCAUAGUUAGGGACUUUGAUGAGGAAUAAUUUGGUUGUAAUGCGUAUUCCAUUCAAUCCAAUGAAUCUAGGAAAAUCUAAGAGUUAAUUUAAGCGGACCUAAUUAACUUGGAACAUUGUCAUUCAUCGUUUGUUGAAGUCAUAACUGGGAAUCAAAUUAUAUGCAUAUGUUCAUGUGUGGAUAAGGAACCCUCUAACUAGUUUCUCAUCAUUCUAUUUCAUCACAAUCUGUUUUGUUUUAAGUUUAUUUUCAAAGUUUAAAGUUUUAAAGUUCAAUUUUCGUCAAAAACAAAACCCCUUGCUUUUUAAGUCUUGCUUUUAGAGUCAAAAACUUGUUUCCUUUAAAUCUUUUGAGUCUUUUAAAGUUAUAUUUUCGUCCAAAUCACUUGUUAGGUCUAGAAUUGAAUCUUUUUUAUUGUUAUUUGCUGUUUUGAGUAUUUUAAGUUAGUUUUGAGUUUAUAGAGUCUAGUUUAGUGUUUUUGAGUCUUAUAUUUGUUGAUUAGCAUCCCUAGUUAAUCCCCGGUCUAGAACGAUCCCUACUUACAUCAUUACUACAAUUGUCAUCAAUAGGGUUUAAUUUGUGUGUCAAGUAAUUUUCACAUCAAAUUUUGGCGCCGUUGCCGGGGAUUAGCAACUUUGCUAAUCCCUUUAUUUUUGUUUUUGUUUAUGUUUAUAUUGGUGUUUGUGUAUUUUACUUUUGAUAUUUGAUUUAUUUUUCUUUCUUUGAUUUUAGGUACAAAUGGAGCGAGACAUGGCACUUGCGACCAUUCAAGCUCAAUUGGCACAGCUCACUGCUCAAUUGACUCAUAAUGCCGAACGGACCACAAUGCCAAGUGUCCCUACACUUGAUGUGCCCUAUGGGCAAGGAUAUCAAAGUCCUCAAUUUUAUGCCAAUGAAGAUGUUUGGGGAUAUCAAGGCCAUAACCAAUCAAGGGGCAACAUAUUUUCCAACGCUUACAAUUCAGAUUGGAGAGGUAAUUCAGAUUAUAUGUGGGAUGAACCUCAACAAUUUCAACAAGGUGGAUAUUGGUAGCAAGACAAGUUCUAUUCAAGACCUAUGCAGCCACCACAGCAUCCCCCACAACAAUUCCAAUCAAAUCAAAGUAUGCCCGUGAAUUAUAAUGAAAUUCUUGAAGGACUAAUUUCUUUGGCGCAGGGUUUUCAAAAAGAAGAACAAUUUUCGCCAUCGGAAGAGUUCUAUCAGUGGCCAUAUGAACCGUCACAGCCACCACAACAAUCAACCCAAUUCAAUUCAGGUACGUCCUUGGAUAAUGAUACACUUAAUAAGUUACUCACCUCUUUGAAUCAGGGAGUAGAAAAUCAAAACCAGGAGAUGCAAGACCGAGUCAAAAGAGUGGACGAAUUGGAGAUGCAAGUUGGGUAGAUUGUGGAAUUCAUGGCACAGAUUCGAGAUCAAAGUGAACUUUCCAACUCAAACAUUGCAAAUUCAAAAGCAGAAAGUGAAAUCGAUGAAGCCAUCACUUUGGAAGGUGACAUGAAGGAUGAAGCUGUCCCAGAACCAUCCAAACACAGCCCGAACAUGGAUGAAUUGCUGCUGCAAGCAGAAGAGGAGGAGGACGACCUGGGCAGUUAGAAGAAUUCUUGCUGCAAGCUCCUCAAAUCCCUAUGUCAUCCAACUCAGGUGAGGAAGUUCUAAAUUCACUUCAUUCUAACAUUAUUCCACCGAAUGUCCUUUGUCCUUGCAGGUUUUUGAUUCCAAAUAUCAAAGAGAGUGAAAAAGACGUUGUGGAAGCUCUUCCAAAGGUGCAAAGUGAUAUCCCAAUUCUUGGUGCACCAAAACAAGUUCCCGAUGGUAUUGAAACGUUCAAAGAACCUUGCACACCAAGAAAAGGGAUUCAAGAAAAUGAAGUGGUUGAAGCAUAUCAAGAAUACAUCCAAGAGGCUGUGCAUGAGACAAUCAAGCCCAAAGCAGUUGAGUUUGAUAACACGGGACAAGCCAUAACCAUCAUAGUAAACCUGGCCAAGUUCAAAGUCCCGGAAAUGUUCAAAGAUGUGGUGUUUGUCAUUGAGUUUGUGUCGGAAAAAGAAAGUAAGCCAUCUUCUCCAAUUUCAAUUUUAAUUUAUACUAACAUGUUUCUGAUUUUGAUGAUUUAGGCACCCACUCUUGAAUUUAAACCAUUGCCGAAUCAUUUCAAGUAUCACCUCCCAUUAAAAGAUAAAUUCCAUGCUUUGGAGCCGAGUGGAGUUUAAAGGAAAGAUUCGUCUGGCUAAAGACGUUAAAUCAAGCGCUUCUUGGGAGGCAACCCAAACAUUCAACGAAGGGAGACUUUGGAAUCGCUAACCAAAUCAGAUUUGCAUUCUUACACCCUUAUCUUUACUGCUUUCAUUUUGUUUUGUUCAGUUAGUUGUGUUAUUUGGUUGAUUUCUGUGAGUUUGUGUUAUUUAGUUUAAGUGUGGGGAAGGUUAAACAAAGUCUUUUUACAUUGAUUUACAUAUUUUACAUUGAUUUAAAAAUAAAAAAUUAAAAAAAAAUUAAAAAAAAAAAAACAUAAAAGUAAAAAUAUUUUACAAUGAUGUGUAAACUAAUAGCAUUCAUUGGUCAGGUGGUGCUUCAGUAGUCGACGGAGCUUCAGCAGUCGGCGGGGCCACGAAAGGAGGAGGUAUCGGAGGUUGAUCAGUUAGAGCUUCACUACGCGGUGCCGCCCCAGAAGACGAAGGCAGAUGCGGUUGGAACAAACCCACAAACCUCCGAUGAUCAAGUAAAAUUUGACCAUCAGUGUCUUGCAGCUGGUCAAUUUUCCUCUUCAUGUUUGUGGCAUAACUGUGUGCAAGCUUGUGCAAUUGUUUAUUUUCAUGCUUGAGUCCUCUAAUCUCCUCUUUGAGACUCUGUAUUUCAGCCACCAACGAUUCAACGUGACGGGUUCGAGCAUAUAGGCAUUGGGCCAUGUUAGACACAGAACCCGCACACUGCACGCUAAGAGCCAGAGACUCCUUAACUGCCAAUUCAUCAGACCGUCUAGCGAGCAGUCUGUUAUCUCUGGGGGUGACAAGGUUCCGGGCCACCACCGCAGCAGUCAUGUCAUUUUUCAUCACCGAAUCCCCAACAGUAAGAGGACCAGUAGGGGAUAUGAAAGAUGGGCGCCAUAUGUUAUCUGGUGAAGGCAGGGCUGCCUCUUCACCACGGUUCAAGUCAAAACGACGAUCGGAAAGGCCAGACAUUUUCUGAAGGUGUUGAGAAAGAAGAGAUCGGACAGAUUAAGAUUUCGGAAGUGCAAGAAGGGAGUGUUUACAGGAGGGAGCUCAAGUGUGUUGUGGAACAAAUUUAACGCCUCUAUAAAAAAGAAGAAAUCAAAGAGGCGCUCCUCAGAAAUUGAAGAGGCAUCCUCUCGCAAAUCGAAGAGUCGGGGCUCCUUUCUCAAACGCCUGAUUCUUUUCUCAAAAGAGGAGUUUCCUUUCUCAAAAGCCGGAUUCUUUUCUCAAAAGAGGCGUUUCAUUUCUCAAAAAAAAUGGGCUUGCUCAGAAACCACGAGCCGAACCCCGGAUUUCAAAAGAUCAAUUUGUCCAGACGUGUUGUCACUCGUCACAUGCAACUGGCAGCUUUGCGGAAAUUACGGGCAACUUUGUCAGAAAGCGCGUAAUUUGUACUAUUUAUCCAUCCACCGGCUGCCGACAAUGAGUGAGAGAAUAGUUCCGGUUGUGAAGAAAAGUCCCAUAAAUAUCUACCUUCGCCUUCCACAGCAAAGGCACACCCUCUCAGCACUUCUUCAUCUCCGAGAAUGCAUUCCCAAAGAACCCUCUCGAGUCACUCUGUAUUCCUCAUUCCCUGGGAUACCCCUGCAAACAACCCAUCCAAAGCACAAGUAUUUCAUAUCAUCAAGGUUGAGAGCACAAGGAUCUCAUAUCAUGCUUUCUCCCUGUCCUUUCUCCAGCCAGCACCUGCUCUCGAGUACUCAUCAUCUUAUGCUUCUGCUUCGUCUCUCACGUAUAAGGGAAGUGAAGAUGAUACCUCGAAGCAUGUGGAGACAACGUGCUGAUUCAUCCUCAACUAGGGACAAGGAGAAAGAAAGCAAGAGGUGGGCACUUGGAAAGAUUGAAGAAAGAAACAGACCAACACCUCUCCCUCGUGCCUGCCCGUCGUGCAGAAGAAACAAGCAGAGAAGAAUGCAGCUUGCACAAUCAUCCCAGCAGAAGGAGUCUGAGAUGAAGAACUAGAGAAGCUGCCACAUCUGCUUGGAGACAAAUAAGGAACUGCAACAUCACCAAAGAGCAAAGCUUCGCCGUACAAUAUCAUCAAAUCAUCACUUGCAAGUAAAAAGCUAAGUGUCACCCCGUUCAAGAGGAAAGCUGUGGAAAGUCAACAAGCACGACCAAUGAUCACUUAUUAGUUCUAUUCAUUGUCUUUUAUCGUGAUUUUCAAUUUUUCGUUUGCAAUUUUUUUUACAUUUUCUUGUGUUACUUAACUGAAUUAUUUCUUUUCUUUGCAGGAAUUUUUUGUUAUUUCCACCCUUGAAGUUGAUUGCAGAAUUUUAGCUUGGGGGGGUCAUCGCUUGGUUUUACUGCAAACUAGGGAAGUUUUCAGUCCAAUUGCUUUAUUUUGUUUCUUAUUAUUUAUUUUAUUUUUAUUUGCAUUAUAGUGUUUUCUGACAUUGAGGACAAUGUUUGGUUUAAGUGUAGGGGGUAAACAAGCUAUUUUUGCAUGAAAUUCGUGGGAUUUUAUCACCUAUCACUUCACAUGUUGUUUCUCACUGUUUUAAAGUGUUUUUAGUGUUUUAAUGUGUUUUAGUGUUAUAUAACAGAAAACCCUAGAAAAAUUCGAAAAAGUUUGAAAAAUACCAAAAAGAGUCGUUUUUGAGUCAUUUUUGUGUUUUAGGGUACCUUCCAACACAAUGAUGAGGAUUUGGUUUUUCAUUGCAUAACUGUUGAAGUAAGUUACAAUCAUGGAUGAAAGUUUGAUAUGCUCUUUGGUUUAUGCUUAGUUGUAAUUCAUGAAUUCACAUGUAAUCAAAAGAAAAAUUAGUUUUUGUAACAUGCUUGAAGGAAGAAACUCAAACUAACGCUACAACCCUGAGAGACUUGAGCUUUUAACGUUCUUUGGAGAGUUAAUAAUCUGUGCAUUUGUUGUCUUCUAAAGUCGUUGCAUGAUCUCAUUAUUCUUUGCUUGGUUACUACUUAGAAGGCGUUUCAUCAUUUAGUUCCAAAUACUAGAACUCAUGCCCGUUUCAUUCAAAGCAUAAAAUUGAUUCGCAUAACACAUAACAAGAUGAAGUUCUUAGUAAACCAAGAACCAAAUAGCCGCACCCCAUGUUCAUUUGUUUUGUAGGUUUAAGCCCCGUUGAGCCUUGUUUAGCCUAUGUUCUUUGUUAACCCACGUUAUCCUUACCUAGCCUAGAAUAGGACCAUCCAUGCCUUUGUUCUUAAAGCAUAGUGAACAUGACUUAGAAUGAAUUCCUUUUGAUUAUUCUUGUGCAGAAAAACAAGUGUGGGGGAAGGAAUUUAUGUGUGGGAAUUUGUGCCAAAAGCAAGAAUUGGGUACGAAAAAAAAAAAAAAAUUAUGGCAAAGAGGUCAAAAUAAGAAAGAACUCACAAGUGUUGGUUGUUGAAGAAAGGGUCCAAAAAGUUAAAUUAGACCCUAAAUAUUGUGUAUUUCACCCCCUUGUGUGUCUAAGUGAUUUUCUGCACGCAAAAGUGAAUUCUAAGUGUCAAAUUCAUUACUUGUUUGCUAUCGCUUUAAGAACUUUUGUUUAUCCUUAACCUUUCUUUGUUAGCCAAUACCCCUUAGCCCCGUUACAAUCCUUAACUUCUAUCUUGAGUGUUAUGUAUUUCAAUAUGUGGAGUUUGGGAUUGGUUUGAGCAUAUGGUGUCCCUGGUUCUCGCAUCUAAGUAGUAGCGUUCCAUUUAUGAGAUCAUAUCUAUAAAUGCUUAAUCAUUCCAGAAAAGUGCUUCUUUUAUAACAUGUGUGAGUGUUCGUUUCCAUGUUUACAUCAAUCUUCUCACAUAUACUUAGUAUAGGGAGUGUAGUUAGAAAAUCCGUGUGAAAAUAAGAGUGUAUCCAGUAAGGAAUUGAGUGGAUUCUCUAAGGCAUGUUACUACGUCCAUAAUGUUGUUUUAAACGAUUAAAUGUGAGCUAGUGAAUGGUAACUAUGAUUAAGUAUAUGCUCAAGAGUAGGGAUGACUAAAAUCUGUGGGAAUAAUGAUCUUUGGCAUGUUAUGUAUCGUUGGAAAAUCCCUGUGUAGCAAAUGUUGGAAGGUUAGGUCAUGUUUUGUUUGUUUUAUUUUGCUCGAGGACUAGCAAAAGCUAAGUGUGGGGGAAAUUGAUAGGAGCAUAUUUAUACGACUUAGUUAGCUUGUUUUCUUGCUUUUAAUUAGCUAAACUAUGAUAAUUAUAGUGUUUAAAGUUAUUUUCGUGCAAUUUCAGGUUUUUAGUGUCAAAGUAUGCAAAAAGAAGCAAUUUGGAACAUUCUAGAGCAUUUUUGGGCCAAGAUUGGAUUGUGCAAGCAUGGAGGCAUGAGGAUGGACGAAUUUGAAGACAAAAGAGGCUAUGAACAUGCUAAAAAUUUGGUGAAACAAAUACAAGUUGCAAGAAGGGAUAAAUUUCUAGAAUGAUUGACCAAAACUUCACUCAAAACCAAGAAAUUCUUCAAUGCCGUGGGCAUUGAUUCACUUUCACCAGAAAUUUGAGUGAUGAUGCAAUCCUUAAAUCACCAUGACAUGUGAGUGGAUGAUGCAAUGCUUAAAUCACCAUGACAUGUGAAUGGAUGACUCAAUACCUAACCCACCAACAAUUCCCACUCUUUGCCUUGCUCACCUACUCAAUUCCACCAGAAUUUUGUGUUAAACAAGUCCAUCCUUUUCCUAUAAAUACCAUGGCAGCAACCUCAUUCAAAUCAUCCAGAAAUUAACCAUUCUCCAAGCCUUCCCUUGCCUCUCCCUACAUAUCUAAACCUUCCCCAUCCAUUCCUCCAUAUAACCAACCAUUCAACCACCAUAACCACCUUGUGCCGCCACCAUUGAAGGAGAGG
RNAcentral lists this long non-coding RNA (8058 nucleotides) under Malus domestica (apple). RNAcentral describes it as "long non-coding RNA (MDOM_LNC003172)". The record is from RNAcentral. Lineage: Eukaryota; Viridiplantae; Streptophyta; Magnoliopsida; Rosales; Rosaceae.